Molecule: non-coding RNA, 124 nt
Organism: Triticum aestivum (bread wheat)
Lineage: Eukaryota; Viridiplantae; Streptophyta; Magnoliopsida; Poales; Poaceae
Source: Rfam
GAGAUACUCCCUCUGUCCGGAAAUACUCGUCGGAGAAAUUAAUGUAUCUAGACGUAUUUUAAUUCUAGGUACAUCCAUUCUUAUCAAUUUCUCCGACAAGUAUUUCGGACAGGGGGAGUAUGAA